AAUCAACGCUGGCGGCGUGCCUAACACAUGCAAGUCGAACGCGAAAGUUCCUUCGGGAAUGAGUAGAGUGGCGUCCGGGUGAGUAACGCGUGGGUAAUCUACCUUUGGGUGGGGAAUAAC
Molecule: ribosomal RNA, 120 nt
Filed under: uncultured bacterium
Lineage: Bacteria
Description: partial 16S ribosomal RNA
Rfam family: Bacterial small subunit ribosomal RNA
Source: RNAcentral